Molecule: ribosomal RNA, 301 nt
Filed under: uncultured bacterium
Lineage: Bacteria
Description: partial 16S ribosomal RNA
Rfam family: Bacterial small subunit ribosomal RNA
Source: RNAcentral
CAGUCGCCGCGGGAAUACGAAGGGUGCAAGCGUUACUCGGAAUUACUGGGCGUAAAGCGUGCGUAGGUGGUGGUUUAAGUCCGUUGUGAAAGCCCUGGGCUCAACCUGGGAAUUGCAGUGGAUACUGGGUCACUAGAGUGUGGUAGAGGAUAGUGGAAUUUCCGGUGUAGCAGUGAAAUGCGUAGAGAUCGGAAGGAACAUCUGUGGCGAAGGCGACUAUCUGGGCCAACACUGACACUGAGGCACGAAAGCGUGGGGAGCAAACAGGAUUAGAUACCCCUGUAGUUCCUGUCUCUUAUAA